RNAcentral lists this ribosomal RNA (862 nucleotides) under uncultured bacterium. Its description in RNAcentral is "bacterial SSU rRNA". It matches the Rfam family "Bacterial small subunit ribosomal RNA", at positions 547 to 1504 of the family's 1533-position model. The record is from RNAcentral.
AUAUCGUAAGGCGUAGCGAAUGCGAUGAAUCCGCUACCCGGAAAGUCUCGAAUUCGUGAGUCGGAUGGAUCGGAAUAGGGUACGUAUCGUGAAUCUAGAACCCGAGGCAGGCGGAUCGGACCAUGACGUAGGCGGAAGUCGGGACAACAGAAUAAGAAUACUGUGAGUCCGACCUAACGGUGCACGCUAAGGGUGGGGGAUUCCACCCCUCCCGCGCCCCCAAGCUACGCGUAGCGUGCGCUGGGAGUACGCGCAAGCUAAAACUCAAAGAAAUUGACGGGGGCCCGCACAAGCAGAGGAGCAUGUGCUAAUUCGAUGCAACGCGGAAAAACUUACUGGGUUUGACAUGCAGCUGCACGAACCGUGAAAGCGGUCUCCUUCGAGGGGUGCUGCACAGGUGCUGCAUGGCUGUCGUCAGUUCGUGCCGUGAGGGUGUUUGGUUAAGUCCACCAACGAACGCAACCCCUGUGGACAGUUGCCAGCGGGUAACGCCGGGAACUCUGUCCAUACUGCCCGUUUACGCGGGAGGAAGGUGGGGAUGACGUCAAGUCAGUAUGGCCCUUACAUCCAGGGCUGCACACGUGCUACAAUGGCCGGUACAGAGGGAUGCCAAACCGCGAGGUGGAGCAAAACUCACAAAGCCGGUCUCAGUUCAGAUUGGAGUCUGCAACUCGACUCCAUGAAGUCGGAAUUGCUAGUAAUUGCAGAUCAGCCAUGCUGCGGGGAAGACGAUACCGGGUCUUGUACACACCGCCCGUCAAACCAUGAGAGCUGGUAAUACUCGAAGUCGUUAUCUCUAACCGCAAGGAGGAGGCGCCUAAGGUAGGACUGGUGAUGGGGUAAGUCGUACUAGAGUAACCUA